CAACAUUCCACAUGAGCCCCGAAGGUUCAUCUUGCUGAUAUGCAUUCUGACCAUCAAGCAAUGGUAUUUUAUCAUUAUCUAUGUCUCCAUCUUCACUGUGGAUUACUUCUGGAAUAUUGCAUAUAUGCCUAUGGUUUAUCCUUUGCAUGACUUGCCAAUUCUUUUCUAAUUUUACAUCAUUGACAUAAAAUAUGUUGCUCCAAA
RNAcentral lists this long non-coding RNA (204 nucleotides) under Elaeis guineensis (African oil palm). RNAcentral's name for it is "long non-coding RNA (EGUI_LNC021876)". The record is from RNAcentral. Lineage: Eukaryota; Viridiplantae; Streptophyta; Magnoliopsida; Arecales; Arecaceae.